RNAcentral lists this transfer RNA (87 nucleotides) under uncultured marine phage. Its description in RNAcentral is "tRNA-Ser". It matches the Rfam family "tRNA". Rfam says of the family: Transfer RNA (tRNA) molecules are approximately 80 nucleotides in length. Their secondary structure includes four short double-helical elements and three loops (D, anti-codon, and T loops). The record is from RNAcentral.
GGAAGGUUACUCAAGUGGUCUAAGAGGUCGUCUUGGAAAGGCGAUAGGUCGGUCACGAUGCGAGGGUUCGAAUCCCUCAUCUUCCUC